This 606-nucleotide ribosomal RNA is filed under the name Listeria monocytogenes. RNAcentral's name for it is "bacterial SSU rRNA". It matches the Rfam family "Bacterial small subunit ribosomal RNA", at positions 1 to 588 of the family's 1533-position model. Lineage: Bacteria; Bacillati; Bacillota; Bacilli; Caryophanales; Listeriaceae. The record is from RNAcentral.
UUUAAAGAGAGUUUGAUCCUGGCUCAGGACGAACGCUGGCGGCGUGCCUAAUACAUGCAAGUCGAACGAACGGAGGAAGAGCUUGCUCUUCCAAAGUUAGUGGCGGACGGGUGAGUAACACGUGGGCAACCUGCCUGUAAGUUGGGGAUAACUCCGGGAAACCGGGGCUAAUACCGAAUGAUAAAGUGUGGCGCAUGCCACGCUUUUGAAAGAUGGUUUCGGCUAUCGCUUACAGAUGGGCCCGCGGUGCAUUAGCUAGUUGGUAGGGUAAUGGCCUACCAAGGCAACGAUGCAUAGCCGACCUGAGAGGGUGAUCGGCCACACUGGGACUGAGACACGGCCCAGACUCCUACGGGAGGCAGCAGUAGGGAAUCUUCCGCAAUGGACGAAAGUCUGACGGAGCAACGCCGCGUGUAUGAAGAAGGUUUUCGGAUCGUAAAGUACUGUUGUUAGAGAAGAACAAGGAUAAGAGUAACUGCUUGUCCCUUGACGGUAUCUAACCAGAAAGCCACGGCUAACUACGUGCCAGCAGCCGCGGUAAUACGUAGGUGGCAAGCGUUGUCCGGAUUUAUUGGGCGUAAAGCGCGCGCAGGCGGUCUUUUAAGU